CUCGUAGGCGGCUUAGUAAGUCGGCGGUGAAAUACCGAGGCUCAACCUCGGCACUGCCGUCGAUACUGCUAUGGCUAGAGUUUGGUAGAGGAGAACGGAAUUCCCGGUGUAGCGGUGGAAUGCGCAGAUAUUGGGAGGAACACCAGUGGCGAAGGCGGCUCACUGGACCGGAACUGACGCUGAGGCGCGAAAGCGUGGGGAGCAAACGG
This 209-nucleotide ribosomal RNA is filed under the name uncultured bacterium. RNAcentral's name for it is "partial 16S ribosomal RNA". It matches the Rfam family "Bacterial small subunit ribosomal RNA", at positions 568 to 775 of the family's 1533-position model. The record is from RNAcentral.